This 372-nucleotide long non-coding RNA is filed under the name Mytilus galloprovincialis (Mediterranean mussel). Lineage: Eukaryota; Metazoa; Mollusca; Bivalvia; Mytilida; Mytilidae. The record is from RNAcentral.
GUGGAGGUGUAAAAAUGGUAGCGUCUAGAAUUUACAAACUUUUUGAAGCAGGAACCAAAAAUGUAAGUUGACAUUCCACAUUUGUGCAAGAAACAUACUAUUGGGUAAACAUCAUGAAAUAGGUUAUUGUAUUUAUUACUGCCUGUGCAGGGGCAGACCCAGCCUUUUUAAAAAGGAGGGGGGGGGGGGGUUCCCAACACAGGACAAAGGGGGGUUCCAGUUUAAUGACUCCAUUCAAAUGCAUUGAUCGGCCAAAAAAAGGGGGGUUCCAACCCCAGAACCGCCAAUGCUGUGUUUGGCAGAUAAUUAACUGGAAAUUACAAAACAAAUGCACUGCAAUUCAUUGGGUUAUUUCCCUUUACAGUAUUUUCU